RNAcentral lists this ribosomal RNA (484 nucleotides) under uncultured bacterium. RNAcentral describes it as "partial 16S ribosomal RNA". It matches the Rfam family "Bacterial small subunit ribosomal RNA", at positions 30 to 507 of the family's 1533-position model. The record is from RNAcentral.
AUUGAACGCUGGCGGCAGGCCUAACACAUGCAAGACGAGCGGAUGAAGGGAGCUUGCUCCUGGAUUCAGCGGCGGACGGGUGAGUAAUGCCUAGGAAUCUGCCUGGUAGUGAGGGAUAACGUCCGGAAACGGGCGCUAAUACCGCAUACGUCCUGAGGGAGAAAGUGGGGGAUCUUCGGACCUCACGCUAUCAGAUGAGCCUAGGUCGGAUUAGCUAGUUGGUGGGGUAAAGGCCUACCAAGGCGACGAUCCGUAACUGGUCUGAGAGGAUGAUCAGUCACACUGGAACUGAGACACGGUCCAGGCUCCUACGGGAGGCAGCAGUGGGGAAUAUUGGACAAUGGGCGAAAGCCUGAUCCAGCCAUGCCGCGUGUGUGAAGAAGGUCUUCGGAUUGUAAAGCACUUUAAGUUGGGAGGAAGGGCAGUAAGUUAAUACCUUGCUGUUUUGACGUUACCAACAGAAUAAGCACCGGCUAACUUCGUG